UGUACAAUAGGCGGUCUUAUCGCUAAAGAGCACUAAAUAGAAGAAUUAUUCAAUUUGGUGUAGUUGUUCAGAACUGCGCGUACAUACAUUUCGGUGAUUAAUUUUUGUUCUCUAUUGAUUUUUUUUAAGAUUACAUUUAACACACAAAAAACAGUUCUUAUUAUUUGUAACAUACAGUACACCGUUUGAAUACAUCAGUAUUAAAAUUUACGCCCGAGUUGACUGACUCAAUCUAUCCGCUACUAUUUGUUUUAUUUUGUUACUGUAGGGUAACUAGAACAAAAAGAGAAUAACGAUGGGUGGUGUAUUUCAUGAAAGAUAUUACCAAUUUUUAACUGAGGGCACAGUGCACAUGAGGGCACUGCAGGAUGUGUGCUGUUAAAAAUCUGGAGUAGACUAACUGUGGAAGUAAAACUUUGAUGUAUUAAAUAAAUUUUCAAUGCUAUGUCAUUCUAUUUGACUUGAUUUCAGCUUAAUUUAGCGAUAUUAUUUUGUGUCAGUGUGGAACAUUUUUCGAUAAAUACGUCAUUCCGCUGACUGUUGUGCUGGCAGACGCAAAUUCGACUUCUACCCAUGGCAAACGUUUAUUGUGGUCAUACAGAUUUAGUCUGGGCGUUUGUGCUUGUGUACUGUGUACAUCUAUACAGCCUAGUCGAGGCCGUCGAGCGUGCGUCGUUUUAUUUUAAAAAAACGCAAUAACGAUCUCGCAAGUAACUCGCUUAAAAAUAAUCCAAUUAUUCGCCCGAUGACAACCAAUGGUACCGCCCAUCACAGAUGACUUGCCUCGUUCGCGUGUUGUGUGUUCCGUCGUUACUCCUGAACGCGCCCGUCACUUGCUAUAUGUCAAUUAUUUUUUCCACCGUCGCUGUACAGAGAUGUGUGUCCGAUGUAAUUAUAACACGUUGUAAGAAUAUGAAUUAUUAAACAGUUUACGUAUUCAUGUUAGC
This 947-nucleotide unclassified non-coding RNA is filed under the name Melitaea cinxia (Glanville fritillary). Its description in RNAcentral is "misc RNA ENSMCXG00005019142.1". The record is from RNAcentral. Lineage: Eukaryota; Metazoa; Arthropoda; Insecta; Lepidoptera; Nymphalidae.